This 1229-nucleotide long non-coding RNA is filed under the name Lepidothrix coronata (blue-crowned manakin). Its description in RNAcentral is "lncRNA (ENSLCOG00000000448.1)". Lineage: Eukaryota; Metazoa; Chordata; Aves; Passeriformes; Pipridae. The record is from RNAcentral.
GUCAUCGAGUCCAACCAUUGCCAACGAGUCACCAGGGUUGGAAGAGACCUCAAAGGUCAUCGAGUCCAACCAUUGCCAACGAGUCACCAGGGUUGGAAGAGACCUCAAAGGUCAUCAAGGCCAACCAUUGUCACUGAGUCACCAGGGUUGGAAGAGAUCCCCAAGACCAUCAAGUCCAACCACUGUCACUGAGUCACCAGGGUUGGAAGAGACCUCAAAGGUCAUCAAGUCCAACCAUUGUCACCGAGUCACCAAGGUUGGAAGAGACCUCCAAGACCAUCAAGGUCAACCAUUGCCAACAAGUCACCAGGGUUGGAAGAGACCUCAAAGAUCAUGAAGUCCAACCAUUGUCACCGAGUCACCAGGGUUGGAAGAGACCUCCAAGACCAUCAAGGCCAACCAUUGUCAUCAAGUCCAACCACUGUCACUGAGUCUCCAGGGUUGGAAGAGACCUCAAAGGUCAUUGAGUCCAACCAUUGUCACCGAGUCACCAAGGUUGGAAGAGACCCCCAAGACCAUCAAGUCCAACCAUUGUCAACGAGUCACCAGGGUUGGAAAAGACCUCAAAGGUCAUCGAGUCCAACCAUUGUCACCAAGUCAUCAAUGUUGGAACAGACCUCCAAGACCAUCAAGGCCAACCAUUGUCACCGAGUCACCAGGGUUGGAAGAGACCUCAAAUGUCAUCGAGUCCAACCACUGUCACCGAGUCACCAGGGUUGGAAGAGAUCCCCAAGACCAUCAAGGUCAACCAUUGUCACUGAGUCACCAGGGUUGGAAGAGACCUCCAAGAUCAUCGAGUCCAACCACUGUCACCGAGUCACCAGGGUUGGAAGAGACCUCAAAGGUCAUCAAGUCCAACCAUUGUCACUGAGUCACCAGGGUUGGAAGAGACCUCCAAGAUCAUCGAGUCCAACCAUUGCCAACGAGUCACCAGGGUUGGAAGAGACCUCCAAGACCAUCAAGGCCAACCACUGUCAUCAAGUCCAACCAUUGUCACCGAGUCACCAGGGUUGGAAGAGACCUCCAAGACCAUCAAGGCCAAGACCACCCUCAUCCCCCCAAAUCCAACCACGAGGACACCACCCAGGAGCAGCAGCGAAUUCCCGCCCUUGGGAACCUCCCGUGUCCUCACAGGAGGGACUGUCCCCAAAAAUCACCGACCCCUCCGUGCCCCGAAACCCAACGAUUUUGGGACCCUUGAACCCAACGAUUUUGGGGCCCUCAGCAGC